AGGGGCAUCUAUGGGGCAGCCAUGGGGAUCACGGCCCUAUGGGGCAGCUAUGGGGCAGCUAUAGGGCAGGUAUGGGGAUCACGGCCCUAUAGGGACAUCUAUGGGGCAGAUGGGGGUCACGGCCCUAUGGGGCAGCUAUGGGGCAGCUAUGGGGCAGAUGGGGAUCACGGCCCUAUAGGGGCAUCUAUGGGGCAGAUGGGGGUCACGUCCCUAUGGGGGCAUCUAUGGGGCAGCUAUGGGGAUCACGGCCCUAUGGAGACAUCUAUGGGGCAGCUAUGGGGCUCAUGCCCCAAUAGAGGCAUCUAUGGGGCAGAUGGGGGCUGGCAGCGCUAUGGGGCGCCCCACAUCCCCCCUCCCUCUCCCCCCCCCUCCCCCCCCAGCUGCCCCACAUCCCCCAUUGACGCUGAUGGGCCCCGACACUUAUGGGUCGCGGUUACGUCACCCCAUGGGGCGCCAAGUAGGGCGCCCCCCGGAGCCCCCAUUAAAAAUAGCCCAAAGCCCUCAUUAGCAAUUAGGGGGGAUUAGCAAUUAGGGGCCCCACGGCGGGGCCGCCCCAUAGCGUCUAUGGGGAGCUGCCCCCUAAUCCUUCCCACCCCCCACCCCAUAAUCCCGGAUUUUCGGGGUCGCUUCGGGGGAGCCGCGAUUGGGGGCAGCGGAUCCUAAGCUGCACACGGGGAAAAGGGAGCUUGGGGGGCGGGUGUGGGGCGGGUGUGGGGUGGGGCGGAUGUGGGGUGGGUGUGGGGCGGGUGUGGGGCCGGGACCCCAAAGUGGUCGUCCCAUAANCGGGUGUGGGGUGGGGCAGAUGUGGGGUUGAUGUGGGGCGGAUGUGGGUCAGAUGUGGGGCGGGUGGAGGGCGGAUGUGGGGCCGGGACCCCAAAGUGGUCGUCCCAUAAUGGAGGCAGGUAGGCGCUAUGGGGUGGAGGUGGUUGUGGGGCGGAGGUGGUUGUGGGGU
This 952-nucleotide long non-coding RNA is filed under the name Phasianus colchicus (ring-necked pheasant). RNAcentral describes it as "lncRNA (ENSPCLG00000016921.1)". The record is from RNAcentral. Lineage: Eukaryota; Metazoa; Chordata; Aves; Galliformes; Phasianidae.